CCUACGGGGGGCUGCAGUGGGGAAUAUUGCACAAUGGGCGCAAGCCUGAUGUAGCCAUGCCGCGUGUGUGAAGAAGGCCUUCGGGUUGUAAAGCACUUUCAGCGGGGAGGAAGGCGUUAAGGUUAAUAACCUUGGCGAUUGACGUUACCCGCAGAAGAAGCACCGGCUAACUCCGUGCCAGCAGCCGCGGUAAUACGGAGGGUGCAAGCGUUAAUCGGAAUUACUGGGCGUAAAGCGCACGCAGGCGGUCUGUCAAGUCGGAUGUGAAAUCCCCGGGCUCAACCUGGGAACUGCAUUCGAAACUGGCAGGCUAGAGUCUUGUAGAGGGGGGUAGAAUUCCAGGUGUAGCGGUGAAAUGCGUAGAGAUCUGGAGGAAUACCGGUGGCGAAGGCGGCCCCCUGGACAAAGACUGACGCUCAGGUGCGAAAGCGUGGGGAGCAAACAGGAUUAGAUACCCGGGUAGUC
This 465-nucleotide ribosomal RNA is filed under the name uncultured Klebsiella sp. Its description in RNAcentral is "bacterial SSU rRNA". It matches the Rfam family "Bacterial small subunit ribosomal RNA", at positions 338 to 795 of the family's 1533-position model. The record is from RNAcentral. Lineage: Bacteria; Pseudomonadati; Pseudomonadota; Gammaproteobacteria; Enterobacterales; Enterobacteriaceae.